CUUCUUGAUCAGUACCGUUUGGUUCGGGUAUAAGCAAGAACUAGCUAUUACAGGGAUAGGUACAAGUAUGGGGAUAAGAAAAAUAGUGUUUGGAUGAAAAUUGGGUUGUUCCCGGGAAUAAGAAUAAUUUUAGAUAGUUUUAUAUAGAAAAUGAAGGUGUUGGUGGAGAUAACCGAGAACUACUAUUCUCGGAUAAAAAAUUACCGUUUGGGUAUAAAGGGAGGAUAAAGGCCUAUUCGUAUUCCUAUUCUCUAACCAAACGCUUCAGAGUCUCUAGCCAUGGAAAAGAUGAAUUUUAACUUUUUUGAGAAAAAAAUGUUUAUAGGAAAUUGAGCGAGCAUAGCACUACUCAACUAGUAAUCCUAGUCCCCAUCAAACGAGCUGGACUUGUGACUUAAAUUGAGGAGUAAAACUAGGGGCGGACGUGGAAUUGAAAAAGUAGCGUAAACAAACCAAUCCAAGUUGACAAUUUUGGUUUGAUAAUUUGAUUCGAUUUUGAUUGUAACUGUAACGUCGUAGUAGCCUCACAUUAGAUUAAAAAAAUAAUAUUGAUUGAAAUAUAUAAAAUCAUGCACGCUAAUAACAACAACUAGAUUUAAAUAUUUUGAACCGAUAGUUUAAGACCAACGAAUUAUCAUUACUAGCGGGUUUGGUCGUUAUAGUAAUCUGGUUCAAUUUUAAUUGUAAGUGGCCUACUUUUUGUUUGAAAAUUUUUCAAAUUAAUUUUUUUUGUCCUAGUAACCAACCAAAAUUUCAUGUGUUGGUGCAUGUAUCAAUAUAUAUAUAUAUAUAUAUAUAUAUAUAUAUAUAUAGAAUUAGGCUACUAUACUAUCUAUAGUACCGAGCUCCGGUACUAUAGUGUUUGUUUUCGAUCUUAGGGCGUUCAAAUCAAUGAUCCACACCGUUAAAUAUGAUCUAGGGUAUAUGAAUGUCUUAGGAAUAAAAUUUUAGUUUUUUUCGAUAUCGUUUACUUAGUAAAUAAAUUAUAUCAAAAUGGACGGUGGAAAUUGAAUAAUCUUUAAAAUUUGAGUAUAGGACUUUUAAAUUUAAGAUCAAGAAUGUUAACCUUAAUCUAUAUAGUUUAAAGUAUUUUCUAUCAAAAUUUGAAGAAAUUUAGAUUCUUCUACACCGUUAAACUCCAAACUUGUCAUAAUAGCCAUUGAAAAUUGACAAUUUUGAAAUAGUUUGAUCAUAAAGUAAACUAUGUCGAAAAAUUAUAAAAUUUUAUUUCUAGAAACUUUAAAUACCCUAGAUCAGUUUUAACGGUGUGGAUCAUUGAUUUGAACGCCCUAAGAUCGAAAACCAACACUAUAGUACCGGAGCUCGGUACUAUAGAUAGUAUAGUAGCCUAGCUCUAUAUAUAUAUAUAUAUAUAUAUAUAUAUAUAUAUUUGUAUAUGUUUAUACCCGAAUAUUUAUCACUGAGCUAUUACUUCGUUUUCUAAGUCAGUCCAGAAAAUUAAUUUGAUAAAUACAAAAUUAUAUGAAUUAAACCAAUAUCUUUUGUAAAUUUAAAUGGUAUCAAAUAAAUAAACCAAAUUGAGAUUAAACUGAAACCGAAACCAAAACACCAUUUUAACAACACAUCAAUAUUUUAAUCUUCUUGAUAUUUAGUAAAUAAAAAAAAUAAUAAAACAAGUGGAAAAAAAAAUAAUUAUUAAAUUGAAAUUGUUACACAAUGACAAUUCAAACCAUGUUGUAAAUCUAACACAAUUCUUUUUUAUAGUGUGAUGUUUGGCGAUCGCAAAAAUAAAGAAUUUUACUAGAGGAAGGAUAAAAAUUUAAUUAAGGAAUAUUUCUACAUGGUAUUAAAAAUUCUGAAAAAUAUAUAAAUUAUUUUAAGAUUUAAAAAGGACAUAUUACUCAUUUAUAAAAUUUAGAAAAAGUAUAUUAGUAUUUAUAUAUUUAUUCAAGAAACUGUUUUUUUUCUAAAUUAUUUUCAAAUCUCUCUCUCUCUCUCUCUCCUCCACUCUCCAUUUGUCCCUCGUUUACUAAAAGGAACACAGUUGUGAGGUGUGAGGUGUCUCACUAUCGCUUCUCUUCCUCCACCUGGUCUCCUCCUCUCGAUCCGAUCGUUCCCAUGGCUCUCCGAACCCUCGCAUCCAAGCGAGCCCUAACCCUAGCCCAAGGGUUAGGGUUCCGGCACGGCGGCGGCGGCGCCGCCCCCUCUGGGGAACACCUGCGUCGCCACGCCCGGGGGCUCGUGACCUUCUCCCUCCCGGAUCUCCCCUACGACUACGGCGCCCUCGAACCCGCCAUUAGCGGCGAGAUCAUGAAGCUCCACCACCAGAAGCACCACCAAACCUACAUCACCAACUACAACAAGGCCCUGGAGCAGCUUGAGGACGCCAUGGCCAAGGGCGACGCCUCCGCCGUCGUCGGCCUCCAGAGCGCCAUCAAGUUCAAUGGCGGAGGUAAACCCUACGCCCCCUUUCCGGUCUUUUCUUUACCCCUCUCCCUCAUCGCGCGUGUUCUUGGUUCCUGGAGUAGGGUUCUAUUAGGGUUUCGGAAUCGAUUCGAUGGUAGGUUUCUGGUUGCAUUUAUCUGGUUUGGCUUUGCAAUUUGGAAUCGUAUAUGACGAUUGGAGUUUUAACAAAUCGAGUGUUACAGAUCUUUUCUCUAUUUUCUCUUGUUGAGUCAUUUAAUUCCACUCAGUCGUGCGCACGAAAGCAUGCAAGAUAUGUGGCAUUAUUGGGAGAAAGAAUUACUCAUAGGAUCAAUAGUUUGUAUUCUAUGUUCUGUUGGAGCCAACAUGAUUAUCUUGUUCUAGGGUUUCAAGGAAAUUCUUAAUCAUAUCGUGUAUCUCUUUUAUUCAAGGUUUAUUUCAUCUAAUCUAAUGAACCAGGUUUAAUUCUCAAAAUCACAAGGAGAUUGUGGGAAUUUUCUUGUGGGAAUCGAAGAGUUCUGAUCUCUCCUUUUAAGCGUUCUUUGGUGUCUAACAGUGAAGAAUUAAUGUAAACAAGGUGUGAUAGGUCUUCUCGCAAGAUAAUUAUCACAAUAUUUAUAUCUCACUCUGUUUGCAGGUCAUGUAAACCAUUCAAUUUUCUGGAAAAAUCUCAAGCCUGUCAGUGUGAGUAUCUGGUAUCUGACUUUUGAAGCUUCAUUUGCGGUGACUAAUCUUAUGAAUUUCUAGGAAUGCAUCGCAACAUUUGGCAUACAUUCUGAGACAUCUGUACAUAACACCUUUGGCUUUGCUGUUGCAAUGUUUCAUUUAUCUUACUGUAACAAAAAAGAAUUCCUUUUGACAGGAGGGUGGCGGAGAGCCUCCUCAUGGGACUCUUGGUUGGGCCAUUGACACGGAUUUUGGUUCGUUGGAGGUCCUUAUACAGAAAAUGAAUGCAGAAGGUGCUGCUUUACAAGGAUCUGGAUGGGUGGUAAGUUCUGUUGGAGCAUCUUCCUUUUGGACACCAUGAGCUCAUGGAGUAUUAGAGGAUAUCACAGUGCAGUGCCUUUUAGUUGAUUGCUCAUUUUCUUUGUAUAAUCUCCGAACAGUGGUUGGCUUUGGAUAAGGAGAUGAAGAAACUUAAGGUUGAGACCACUGCUAAUCAGGUAAACUUCACUUUAUAUAGAGAUUUGCGUUUCUUCGUUUGAACUGGAUCUUCAGAGAUGCAUUCCCUUUUCUCUGAGUUGAAUUAUGUUGGUGAAGUAAUAUCGUUCUUUUGUAUCAUUUAGUUAACUUUUGUAUUUGCUAUAUGAUGUUUCAAUCAGGUAAAAAAGGUAAAUUUUCUACUCAUACUUUUAUUUUUAACAAACCUUCCAUGAACAAAAAUAUCACAAGUUACUAGAUAAUUUGCUUACGGAUGACUACCGGAAACCAUUGUUUGUUCAUGAAAAUCAGCUAAAUAAUCAGCUAAAAGAGUGUGUGAAAAGUCUUUGUUUAUGAAUAAAAAAAACACAACAUAAGUAACCAGUGUCCAAUUAAAGUGAUAAUCAGUGAAAUAUUUUCAUGAGAAAAUGAGCAAGUGAUAUUAAGGACUAAGUCAAUAGACAGUUAGCCACCAAAUUCUUUUUUAUAUAUCAAAAAUUAUUUUCUGGACAUAUGCAUCUCAACAUCUUCCUUCAAUCAAGCAGUGGGUGGCAUAUGGACUUCAGUGAUCUUAUCAUGUCAUGCUUUGAAAAAUCUAGUUGAAUCAACUCUCCGGAGCUUUAGCGCGUGGUUAUUUUAAAUGGUAAACUAUCUUACAUUGGAUGAUUCCAAUCUCUUAAUGCAAUUUUAAUUUUAAAUUGGACAACAUAGAUAACCAACUUUAAAUAGAAAUACUAGGUUAUGAUGUUACUCAGUUGAAGUCAGUGUUUGAAAAGGCGCGCCUCAGUGCCUAGGUGCAAGGCGCGAGUCUCAGCGCCUCAGGGAGUGAGGCGCGCGCCUCAGAUGCGCCUCGUGAUAUUUACGUUUAAUGUAUUUAAAGUGUAGAUUUUUGGGUUUUGAAUUUCUUCAAUAUAUUCUAAAAUGUUAAGAAAUUUUUUAAAAAAAUUUCUAAUUGAACACUUUCUUUUCCUUUUCUUUUGGUCGUUCUCUCUUCCACCCUUCAAUGGCAAUAAAUAGCAGCGGCAAGAAGAAAGAAGCAGCAGCAAACACUUUUAAGCUGAAAGUUGAAACAUAUAUUUUUUUUAUUUUUAUACUGAGAACAUUUAUGCAUGCGAUUUCUUUAUUUUUUUAUAGUUAUUUUGUUUUUGUAUAAUUAUUUUAGAAUUUUUUAAUAUAAAACAUCCAUUUAAAAUAGGCUUGUUAAAAGUGUUUUAUUUUUAUUAGAUAUGCGCUUCGCGGUGCGCCUAGCGCCUAGACUCCAUAAGACCUUUAUGCCUUAUUGCGCCUGGUGCCUUUUCAAACACUAGUUGAAGUAUACAAAGUACAUCAGAAAACACUAACCGUUAGAAGCACUUAGAGUUGACCUUAAUUUUGCUGUUCUUGGAUUGUUUGUAAACUCGAUUUUCUGGGAUUGAUUGACAAAGACGGAAAAUUAUUUGCAAAGUCUCUCUGUUUCUUUGCUUAAAAAGAAAAGAGUAAUUUGCAAACUAACCGAUGAUUGCAACACUGGGGAAACUCUAGGUGAUCUGAACCUCAUAAAACUUGAGGAGAAUAAAAUUGGAAAACAUAAAACGAUGCCAAAUGCAACUCAGAUUAAAUGUUACUAUUUUACAUGGCUGGAUUAGUUUCUAUACAUGUCAAAUGUGAAAUGAUCUCAAGUCUCCUGAGCCUUAGAUCUAAGAAGAAAGUAAGAAGCCCUUGUAGCUGGCAAUUGUAAUGAGAGUUGUCUUUUGAUUAUGUAAUGAUUUGCUCCUAGGCCACCUUUCUUUGUGUCUUCCUGGAACUAAGUUUCUUGAGCCAUGAUCAAUCCCAUGUGCAUACUGUGUCACUUAAACAUAUAUCAUUUGCUAAUUUGCAAUCUUUAGUCACUAUAUGCAUAUGACAGUAUCUAAACAAUUCCUUUUUCACAGGAUCCUCUAGUGACUAAAGGAGCAACCUUGGUUCCUUUGCUAGGUAUAGAUGUGUGGGAGCAUGCAUACUACCUGCAGGUAAAUAUUGUGUCUUUUUCGAAUUUCAUCAUAAAUGUAUAGUAGAACAGUAAUCUUACACUUUGCUGCUGCACUUUAAACAGUUUUUGUAUUUAUAGUAUCAUUGACUGUAAAUAAUGAUUUCUUUCGACUUCACAUUACACCAUUUAAACUUUCAAACAUAAGCACUCCAGAACCUGGAAAUAAUAAAGUGAAGAUCUGCUGCUAAUUACAACACGUUCUACUGAUGGAGGGUUCCAAUAGCGUACGAAAUGUUUUAUUAACUAUGAUCUACUAGAUGAUCUGCUAUUUAAUGGAUAUCUCUUUUUCUAGGGAGUCAGACUAUGAAUUGUAACUGUUCACUUUUCCUCUACUCGUAAAGCCUCAUAACUUGUUACCAAGUUCUAAUGCUAAAUCUUGAAACUAAUGAUGAUUAAGGCUUCUCAGACUUCUGACCAUGGCAGAUACCAUCUAAAAGAAGUAAAAGUUAGAUAAGCAUUUUUUAACUUUCAGUACUAUCUCCGCUUUCCUCAUCAUCUCUCUGUAUCUAUAUCCUCAAAGUUAGGGGUUUUGUAUUAGUCUUUUGGUUGCAGAGACAAUGAAGAAUGCACUUGUUUUGGCUAUUUAGCUAGUAUAGCAGUUUAUCUAGGAUGGUUAUCAGGCUAUGCAAAAAAUUAACAAAUAAAGAGAAUAGGGUCACACCCUCACAUUUGGUGAACUCCUCUUAGGGUUGGAAGUUCCUUUUAGGUUGAUUGAACUAUACCUUUGCUGCUUCCGUAGCUUGUCUUAUUUUUCUGUUCAGAAGGUGUGGCAGGUAAGUUUCCUUUUUCUUUGAGCAGUACUUGAGAAAGCAAAUUAUACUUUAUGUGCUGACAACUUGACAUGGUUGGUUAACUCUGACGAGAGGAAUCAACUCCAUCUGUUAUCAGCCUCUUGUUAGUUUUGAAAUAUGUCCUUUAUGGUAUCAAAUAGAAUUCUAUACAACACACUCAAUUUACCACAGAUUCUGAAUAGAGUGGCUGGAAGAUUGUAUUUCAAAUGUGAUUAAAUGAAAAUGUUAGAAUUAGCAGUCAAUACCCUGGUGAUGAAUUAUCUAUCCACAUAUAUGCUAGUCUGGCUAGGUUUUUAUGGCUGCUUGAAUAAGGUCUAAAAUGGGACACGCUAUGUUACUUUCUGAUGAUUUAUUUGUUUCACACAAUCAGAGAUCUAUAUUAUGGCUAUGAUUCAAAAAGCAUGUGAAAAUUACUUGUGACAUAUCUGAUACAUCUGUCAGUAAAGAAUACUCUAUUGCUCUCUGAGAUGGUGCUUGUGACGUUUUAAGAAAUGUUUUAUAGCUGGAUUUGUGUUGUGCUUAUCUUCCUCAUUUUGAUUUUAAGCUAGGUGUUGAUCUUAAACAUUUUUUGGGUUAAUUUUGACGAAGAAUUUUCUCUGAUAUCUUGGAUAGUCUAUCGGUGAGAAAUAUGCUUUGUACUGUGUUCUUGUAGGAUGCCUAAAUAAUGCACUUACGAAAGAUUUUCGGAACUUGGCAGAAUUAUGAAAAAAAAUUGCAAUCAUUAGUUUUCUGAGCCAAUUUGACUCCAACUUGCCUUAGAAAGAAAUUGAGCUUGCUCAUCAAAUUCCUAAGAUCUAAGUUUAUGGUCUGUAACUUAUUUGUCUCUCUGUAAAUUGGAAAUGAACAUUUAGUACUAUUAGAGUAACUUAAAAGUAGCCGCAAGCCAGUUUAUAUCAUAUUCUCAAUUCUUGAUAGGAGUUCUCUGUCAAGAGCCAUAUUUUUCUCGUUGGUCUAUCACCACGAUUGAACACCAUUAAAGUUGAAUGACUAAAGCAAUGGAGCUAUCCUUAAUUAUAUUUUGUAAUAAAGCGAAUAAGAUUUGCGACUACAAUUUUAUUUUCUUUUCUUUUCCUCUCCUGUUGAGAUUGGAAAGGUAUCACCCACAUAUGUAGCCAAAAUCAUUAAAUCAAAGCAACACUAUUUACCAGUGUGGAGGCACAGGUACCCACGUAGUUAAUGUAAUAUAUGGAAAUCUAAAAUCUGUUUUGUAUGCAUUUACAAGUUUUAACUGCGAAGUGGGCAAGUUCUUGCUGCUCGUAUAAAAAAUCUUUUCUCAGGAUGUUCUUGUUGUUUUAUUUGAUAAUAAAUUACCAUGAACUAGGAAUGGCAAUAUAGGAGAUGGAUGCAAUGAAAAUAGCUUCACUUGUCUUAGUGAGCAUGUAAUGAAAAUGUUGGGCAAACUUCUUAACAAUUCAAAUACUUUGCAUUAUCUCCAACCAUAAUCGUCCAUUGUAAUGUGGUUCAACCAGUACCAGAUAGCUUUUCGGACCUAGUUUAUCAGUAGUCAAUCAUUUGGGUGAAUUAAUGGUACUGUAUAAAUGGAUUAUGAUUCUCUGAUGCAUAGAUUCUGUAAUUUAUUUUUCUUUUGCAGUUUGUGGGUGCAUCAGAACAUUUUCUGAUGUCGUAUUUCAUUCUCAAUGGUUCUUACUAUUUAUAUGCUUUUUCAUGGGAGUAUCUGUUUGUGUGCUUUAGGAUUAUCAGUUUGUUCGCUUAAUUACAUUUUGAUGCUGUGUUGCAGUACAAAAAUGUUAAACCCGACUACCUUAAGAACAUAUGGAAGGUCGCGAACUGGAAAUAUGCCAGCGAGGUUUAUGAGAGCGAAAUCGCCUGAGGUAAGCUUUUCUAUGUCCAUUCUAACAUGGGUUAUCGCAUGCAGUGUUGCCCUUCUGCGUUUGCCAUGAAGAGAGGAUACUUUUAAAUUGAAUAAAUUUGGACCUUCUAGGCCUGAAAUCUUGUUGAUACAUUAUCUACUAGUUGAAUAACACCGCAGUGCCUGUAGAUGUUUCUUCUUAAUCUUGUCCACUUGUCUACUGAAGGCCUCGUUUGGUACCGCUGUUGAUGUUUUUUCCAAGUACAAAUUCUAUGAGAUAAAGUGCAUUGAGUGAUGGCAGAUGCUCGUAAUUUAUACAUCUACAAUGUUUUGGCAACAAAAAUGGUAAAUUUGGUACCACCUUACCAAGUUCUUACAUGGUUUCUUUUUUUUUCCCAAAACAAGAUGUCAUUCCAUGUUCGCAUAUCACAUUGAGUAAUUAUGAGAAGCACAAAGAAGUCCAUCUCUCAGUGCAUUUGAUCAAAAUAGAUUUUGCUGAGCAAAAAACCAACAGCGGAACAAAACAGGCAUGAACUACAAAUUUUCACAUUCGUGUUUAGUGCUAGAAAAGGGGCUAAAUUAGACUAUUAGGUCUUAAAUUUUUACUCGAGUUUCCUCCUCAACUUUGGUUUACUAUCUUAGGGGAUUUAUACUCUUGAGUAUAUAUAUUUCAGUCUGAGUCUUAUCAUCGAAACAAAAAAGUGAUGUGACACGAAGUGUGAACGUCCUAUUUUAGUAGGUGUAAUGGAAGUAGUGUGAAUCUCAAGGGCAGUGGAAGUUGAGAGUGUUGUUUUGGUAAUGCAGCGGCCAAAUUCAAUUAUUUCGGUAUUUGAAGGUUAGUGGUUUAAGGAGUUUGAAUUGACGUGGAUGUUAUGAAAUGAUGGUUGGCUGCUUCACAGGUUGGUGGUGCUUUUUUUUUUGAAUUUUGUAGUAUUAGAGAAAACUUUCAAAAUGAAAUUCGUCACUGGCACGUUUUGCAAUCUGCACUAACCGCUUUUUAUGUCUAAAAAUUUAAGAUUAUAAUUUAUUAAUAUGUAAUGAUUUUAGUACUGUAGGAAACUUUAUCAACAUAAAGAAUAUAUUGUUGCAUAUAUAUAUAUAUAUAUAUAUAUAUAUAUAUAUAGAGAGAGAGAGAGAGAGAGCUAGGCUGAGAGAGUAUUGGUAGCACGGAGGCAUCUGUGCUAUCAAGUUGUUUUUAAUGUUGCGGCUUUCAAAUCGACGAUCGGCUCCAUUAGAUUUUGAUCUACACUAUUAAAAAUAGAAAUUAAAUUUUAUAAUUUUUCGGUAUCAUUUACCUGUCAAACGAGUAGUUUUAAAAUGAACGACUGAAAAUAAAAAUCUUAUAAAAAAUAAUAAUAAAAAAUUUAAAUUUAAAAUCAGAGGUGAUGAUCUUACUCUAUAUUGUGGAAAAAAUUUUUUAUAAAAAUUUCAUCAUAUUUGAAUUGUUUUACACCGCUAAACUCAUAAACGCAUCACAUCUACUAUUAAAAUUGUCAAUUUUGAAACCUUUUGAUCACCAGCCAAAUGAUAUCGAAAAGUUAUAAAAUUCAGUUUUCAAAUAUUUUUAAUAGUGUAGAUCAAGUCUGAUGAAGCCGAUUGUCGAUUUAGAAACUGUAUCAUUGAAAACAACUUGGUAACACGGAGGCUUUCGUACUAUUGAUAGUAUACCAGCUAGCUCUCUCUCUCUCUCUCUCUCUCUCUCUCUCUCUCUCUCUCUCUCUAUAUAUAUAUAUAUAUAUAUAGUAGAAUUACUAUAACUUUAAAUUUGAUGCUUUCAAUUUUUUUAACCUUUAAAUUAAUUUUUUUUUAUCAUUUUUAUUUUUUAGAUUAAUAUUAUUAUUCUAUGAAACAACUAGAGACCACGUAAUCUUAGGGGGGAUUAUUAUCAUCUUAAUUGUACAAUUCUUUAUCUAAAGGUUAAAAAAUUAAAAGCAUUUAUUUUUUUAAACUUUCAAAAGCAUAGUGGUUCUACACUAUUUGCUGCUUUUAUUAAAUGCAAUACAUAUGGAUUGUCACUAAUAAUUUUUUUAACGGAUAUGACAUAAAUCUCAAAGAGCCUGCGGCAGAGGCAGAGAGCAUGGUUGCUGAUGGUGAUAACAUACAGGGAUAGUGCUGGCAACAAGAGUACCGAAAGAUCUAAGAACGACGAGGACGCCUUAAAUCCUUUAGUACUCUCUCUCUUGCCGCCAUAUGCUGUAGCUAUCGCCCCCGCCCUUCGGACGCGUUCUCCCUUCUCAUCUUCGUUAAAUCUUUCGAUAUUGUCAUCAUCUUUCAAUAUUCUCAUCGUCGCCACCCUCCACAGCCAUUUUCCUUACAAGCUCCCCUCCACAAUUUAUGUCAUAUCCAUUAAAAAAAUUAUUAAUAAUAGUCAACAAGCGAUGCGUUGGUUUUGAAAGCAAAACGGAAAAAAAAAACUAUUUUCUCACGAAGAGCAUAAAAGAUAUAAGUGCUUUUUAAAAAUUUCUCUGAUCAAGUUAUAAAAGGAGACGAGUAACAAACGAAUGACGCCAUUAGUGGCUCAAUAAUAUGCUCUUUGGAAAAGCACGUCUCCGUUCUCACCAUCACAGACGCUAAUGAACACCGCCUCGAUUACGACCUCGUUGCUCCACCCACGACCCACACACAUUCUGAGCCCUCCCCUCCGGCGCCGAUGGAGGCGGAGGAAGAGACAGUGAUAAAGGUUAAAAAUUUAGAUUGAAUAUAUAAAAUUCAACCUGGCCCGCUUUUGCAAAAUCAAUAAAUAUUUUAUGCAAAUUGAUCUUAAAAAAUAAAAAAUUAUUAUUUUUUUUAAGAAAAAACUAUUUAAGGUUUCGCGUGCAACCUACCCUCAGGCAAGAUACCAAAUCGUGCGGUGAAUAUUCAGUUGGGCAGACAGGCCAUCUCUGAAAAUUGGAUCAAAUCACCAUCGUCAGCACGUACAGGUUUGCUUUUGCUUCCUCUUCCAAAAGUGGAACCUCCCUCCUCCUUGCACGCAUUUGAUGGUGCUCCCAAAGCCAACUAGCUGAAAAUUUCACUCACCUUUGAUGCCGAAUUGCGUGAGCCAGCUCGAGGCAAGAAGCCAUCGGGCAAUUCGUCUUGACUGCGUUCGGAGCAAUAUGUGAUCUGCACGCGGCGUAGCCUUCCUGCGUGCAAUCUCUCGGCAUCAUGUACGCCUCAAUAAUGUUGCACAACUAAAUGAAUAAAUUAGACAGAAAAGAUACUGGAAUAAGCAGCAGCAGCAGCAGCAGCAGCAGCAGCAGCAGUUAAAAGUCAAUAAUUCUUCAUCUUUUUCUAUCAAUAAGAUCAGAUCUUCCGCCGUAUAAACUUUAAAAGGAUCCUCAAAAGGAAAUGCUUAGUCCAAAAUAUUGGCACAACUAAAGAAUAAAAAGAUAGUAACACCUACCCUUCGUAAGCUGUUGAUGAGGGUGGCGAGGGGAGGAGAAUUAAUUCUCGCUCGGCUUGCAAUCUGUCGAUCGGAGAAAGGAGGGAUGUAAGAUUAAUACCCAUCGGAACAUUUAAACACACCUGUAAAUCAGAUCUUUAUGGCCACAGCAAUGACGCAGCUAGUGAGGGGAAAUAUCCGAGGCACAUCGGCCGAUGGAAAGUAAAACUUAAAUGGAUUAGAAAUGUUUGGGCGUUCUCAAAGAAAUCAAAGUUGCUAAACUAAAAAAAAGAAAAGUGUCAAGGUUGCUUCUCUGGAAUAAAUACCUCGUCGAGUUUGAUGUAUCCAGAAGGCAGCAGAGGGUCACUUUCCUCGAUCAUUAGGUUGAGAAGCUUUUCUAAAUCGACACCGUUGCCUUUGCCGUCAGUGUAUGCCCAUCCCCAUUCCGUAGCUAAUCUUAACAUAUCAGAUAAAUAUGCCGCAUCAUGAAGAGGGCCGGUCCAAAGCGGACCAGAGACAACUACAGAGCUGGAAACCUGUAGAAAAUAAUACAAGGCAUCAGAUGUUAUUUUAGUCAAUACUAAAACAAGGGGGCUUGGCGAACAUUUUGUAGUCAUACAUUCUAAAUGUAUGGAAAAAUAAAAUUGAUCAAUCAGGCACAAUUGAUGUGAAUAUGGGGGAAAUCAUUCCUACUACAUUAGCCAUCACAAGUAUGUGACCAAGAAGAAUUAAAUGCUACGAAGUAUUUGAUAAUCCUUCAAUGUUUGCACGUUAUAGUUCACAAUCAUUUUGUGGAAAAUUUAAAUUAAAAAGUGGACAAAAGAUUCACUGAAUGAACCAAGUCAUUUCAAACAACCAGCACGUGCUGGAAUGUUCUACGGUUCAGCUGUACCCAGCGUAUCUAUUUUUGACAAUUCAUAUACUGAAAGAAGAAUUUGCAUAAUGCAAACGAGUCUAGCGCAUCUAAUUUCAAGGACAUGCCAGAACGAUAUACAAACGGGCAUGCAUAAGAGAAGAUAAAUUACCAUCACUUGCAGGAACAGAUAUCCUAUCUUUCAACUUUCGAUCCAUAUAAUAUUCCUGUAUGGUAGUAAAAUUCUCUGAUAAUUUUCAAGAGCUAAAUUUAGAAGAGGCUGAAAUGUAUACCUCGCCAUUUCUACAAGGACAGGAAAUCUGCCCGAGUUCAUCCCAAGAAUAAGUUUGAGAGUGCCCACAUAGUUUGCAGUAACUUAUGAAGCCGUAAUGGCUGCAAGAGGAAAGAAUAAAAAAAACUGCAUAUCAUACAAUGUUUUUUCGAGCUGUUAAAAAAAAGAUACAGCCACGAAUAUUAAACUAUCAGAGGGUAAUUACGACGUGUCCACCUGAAGUCGUGGUCCUUUCCACGGGAAACUUGUAGCAUCACUCUGAAUACAGGAGCAUGAUACGAAUAGUAUGAGAACAGUGGCGUUAUCUGAAAGCCUACAGCAGCUGCUUCACGUAAAGCACCACCUAAAAGCAUUCGCAAACCGAUCUCAUUUGAAUAUGGCACUGGGCGAACAUAUGCUCCAUAGGAAGCCAAAGAACUAGAAGGAAACAAAUAGUUACAUACACACUACCCAAGAUUCCUACUUAAUAAAUGGAACCACUACAAUCAUGAAACAAUUACAUUUUGAAGCACAUAAAGAAGAUGGCCAAUUAUAAACAUCGUAAGGUAAAAUUGUUCGCCCAAUGAAGACCUGAAAAAAAAAGAAAAAAAUGGGCUGGUUCACACUCCCACACUUUUCUAGAUAAGAUUUUCCUAAUACUACUACUUUCAAGGCAGAACCUGCGAAUUGCCAUGUAAUGCAGAAUCUCUGGCCAGUUGAAGUUCAAGAGUAGUGGUAAAACUAUAUUUGGCUGCUAUAAGAUUGACAAAAAACUUAAUGGUUCCAAAUGUUGAGCGGUCAAGACAUGAUGCUGAAAUGAGAAUGUUUUAGAGUUAUAAAAGAUUGAAAGGUCUCACUUGAGAGAUAGAGAAAGAAAUAAGAAACGAAAUAAUGGUGGAACAGAUAUAAAAAGAUAAGAUAUUUAAAAUAGUUUGGACAUGCUUAAGGAACCUUUGAUUUAUGGAGGACAAUAUCAAAAACAAAAUUGAAUAGGGAAAAGAAUUCAUAUACCCUCUCACAAAAACAAGGCGAUAUCGUAUCUUCUGUAAGAUUCAAAUAAACUCGUAAUGACAUAGUAUCUCAGCCAAGCUAAAGAAUACAAUUGAAAGCAUUGAAGGCUCCAAUUUCAUUUAUUCUAAUAAAAAGGGGAUCUCCUUUGUCUUUCAAAAGGAGAAAAUAAACUUGGUGUCAAGGGCAUUUGGUCCUCCUCCAGCUAUCAUGCAUAUCAAACCUGCUUUACCCUAAGAAAAAUUAAAAACUUAUGAUUCAGCAAGCUGAAUUGGCUUGCCGAAUCAGUAAAUACGCUUCACUCAAGGUGGUCCUACAUGUGCAUAAGGACUCCUUGAUCGAACGGUCCUCACUGAUUCGGUGAGAAUAGUACGACUCUUAACCUCAUAGAAGGCAAACAGGCUAAAGCUUGUCUCCUAAUUUCCUCUAAAAGGACAGUAAACAUUGCACAAACAAUAAUUCUUUUUCUUGCUUCUUCGCGUGGAGAUCGAAUGUAAAUUUCAGGAGAAUAUUUGUCCAUUUAACAUAUUCUCCAAUACUUUUGAAGAACACAAAAAUGAAAAAAAGAAAGAAAGAUAUGCAAGCACAAAAAUGCCCACCACUUAUUUCAUCAAAUAAACUACCAUUCCACCCAAGAAGUCACACUCGCAAUAGCAACACAUCAAUAACACUGCUUGCUAAGCGUAUUAUUCGAAAAGCUGUAAUGAACACGCAAAAGAACCAAUUGUGCUUAAUUCAUCAAACGAAAGAAGCAUUAGAAUGUUACCAACGAGGGCGAUGCCCUCCUGAUGAUCUACCGCAGGUCGACGUGACGUACAAAAGCCCUCCGAUCUUGACCGCGGCGAUGCCCGAUCUCAAGAACGAGGAGUCGCUCCCGAAGGAGUCGACGUCGACCAGAUCGAAGAACUCUCUCCGGAGAUAGCAAUCGGCGAGAACCCUAUUGGCACCGAAGUGGGUUACGACCCACCUCCGCUCACCGAGGGUGGAGAACCUGGGCUCGCGGGCGAGGUUGGCGAGGACGAGGGGGCGGGAGCCCUCGAAGGCGUCGUUGGCCCAGACGAAGUCGGCGCCGCCCUGGGCGAGGUAGCGGAGGGCGCGGACGCCGCACCCGCACAUGGCGUCGAGCACGCGGAGGCCGCCGCCGCCGCCGCCACAGCAUCGGCGGAGGAGGGAGGCGGAGAGGACGCCGAGGUCGCGGCCCACGGCGCUCUCGCGGCGGAAGAAGGAGUCGCCGGUCUCGAACUCGACGCCGCGCUCCGCCUCCCUCGAGCUCGUCGGGGUCAGGGUUCUCCUCCUCGUCCUCGUCCUCGUCCUCCUGAUUCUUCGGGGGCUAGGGUUAGGGUUUAAGGGAUGAGGGAGGAGGAUUGGGUGAACGGAAGAGAGAGCGAACAUGGCAUUGGCGGGGUAACGAGGAUUUUCAAGAUUGCCUCGAGCCAACGAUUUCUGGGAAUCGGAUUUUAUUAACGAGGCUUUCUUUUCAGCCUUCGAACUAUCGGAUCGGCUUUCGGACCCGAUAACCCUUUUCUAAGAUCAAUAUCAGGCGAGUCGAGUUGGAUUCAAGAGGGAAAAUACUAAAAUUAUAUUAGAUUCUCCAUGAACAUCUUUUGUAAAUAGUAACUUUUGGAUUUUGAAACUUAUAUUCUAGCUCCACAUCCCACCGUCGUAGAAAGAAGAGUCAAAAUUUUUUUUAUUUUUAGUAAAUGCGGCUAAGGAAGAAGUAAAAGCUAAACAGUUCGCCAAACUUCUGCUACGGGCUAACAUGCAGGUUCGGAUUACUUAAUAGGCAUAAUGAACAAAAGACGGCCACAACUAUUGUGAGAGGUGAGAAAAUUGGGGAAAGUAAUUUGCGGCUUCCACUCUGCCAAACUACAAAAUGUCACUGGAAAGAUUACAUCUGCGAACAAGCAACAUUUUGUGAUUAUGGGGUUAUAUAACCCUUUUGCUAAGCACAAGAUUGAUCCUCCAAAAAAGGGGGAAAAAAUAUCUAUUAUAGAGGCAUUCAUGUAAUUGUCUAACUAUGACUGUACCACUAAUGAGAUUAGAUUAAGCUCAGAUCUCGAAGAUCCAGCAUCAAGAUUCAACUUGAGAUUCAGUUGUGGAUUGAGCUAGAUGAGUUGGCAAACUUAUUCAACUUUUGCCACUCCUCCCUCUGGCAUACUGCUUUCUGCAACAGUCUCUCUCACAAACCUGGAAAGAGUAUUACUUGUUGAGGUUAAACACUUUUGGGCCAAAAUUGACAGCUAUACAUGAGUGGGCAACAAAAGCCUAUAAUAUUCAGUUAGCUAUCUACAAAUUAGCUUCAACCCUUUGCAGGUAUUUAAUUGAGGGAAAAUUAGUGAAGCUGUGACAUAGGCAACAAGCAAAAACAAAGGGCAGAAAGAAGCAAUACCUAGCUAACUUGUCUUGAGAUGAUUGCAAGACAUAAAUUGCAAGGAUGAACGACAGAACGAGCCCUGUGAUUCAAAUGAACAAAGCCAUGUAAAAGACGUUUCACCAUGAUCACCACUGUAAUAUUCUUUUUUCCCCAAAAAAGCCCAAAACAGAAUGUUUAUCUAAUGAGUGGCAAUGCAAAGUAUUAACUAUGCAUCAACAAAAGAUAGAAUGAGAUAUAUAAGGGCUUUUUUAAUGUAGAGGGUCCGCCGUACCUGAUCCAAACAAUACAUAAUAACCCCCUGCAACAUCUAUUUCUGAUUGCUCCUCCCUGUUAUUAAAUGUAAAAGUGUCAAACAAUGUCUAUAUAAGAUGCAGACAAAAAUAGAAACAUAUCAUUCACCUAUAAUAACCUAAUAAAUUUAACAAGUAACAACCAUGGAAGGAUAGUUUCAAGGGCGUUCUUCAGUUAAAUGGACCAGAAGUAAAAUUUAACAACUACAAAAUAGCCAAAUAGCCAACUGGACCACAACUGGGGAUGUAAGUAGAACUACACAAGACAAAAGUGAUAGUAUCUCUACCUCUUAUGCUUUAUCGUGUGAUUAUUGUCUGAUUCUUGAGCUAAACAAAUUUUGUUCCGAACAAUGAUGUAUGGCAAUCUCAACAAAAGAAAAUCUAGGAUAUAAUGAUUAGUCAAUAAACAUAAGUUGUUAAAUACCAAAAAAGAGAAGAAAAAAAUUAGUCAAUCAUUCAAAAUGCCAAGUUCACUGACAUUUAACUAGAGAAAAGGGGAGUAAUUAGGAUAAAGAGGCUUCAUUAUCCAUAGCCAUUUCAAGUCGAAGGCUGUUCAUUAUUUAUACCCAUUUCAAGUCAAUGGAUCUCUCUUCUAAGAUAUGAAGGUCAAGGUAUGCUGGUUUAUUAUUUCAAACGAAGUUCAAGAUUCAUUUUUUGAGCAUGAUUCCUUGGUUAUUUGAUAUUCAUUGCAAUAACAAAAACACAAAAGGACAAACCCAAUCAAGUGAUUCUAUACGAAUGGCAAACUAUUGAAGAUUUCUCUCUUGGAUAAUUAAGUCCAUCAAGAUUCAGAGAGACUUUCGGACUGUCUGAUUACCCUCAAUAGAGCUUAAGCAUUGUACACCUCAAUGCUUUAAUAAAAUCAAAAUGUUUAUAUCCAAGCAAAUACUCAGUUCUGCGAGGCAUUCUACAGCUGAAAUAAUUGAAGAAAUUGAGAGUAUGAUUUCAUUCAACCAUAAUAAUUUUAUCCAGUGGAAUAUUAUGUUGCACUUCCAUUGUUUUAUUUAGUCUAUUAAAGUCUAAGAAAAGACAAUAUGCCCUUCCAUAAUAGCAAGGAGAUAGCAGCUAACCAAAAGAAUGCAAAAACAUACGCAACAAUAUGCCAAUUGUCCAGACCCCUAUAUCGCAUAAGAACUAGAUAUAUGCGAUCAUAAAUUCAUAAUACAAUCACAUACUACCUCACAGGUUCAAGCAAAACAAGACUGAUAAAGCCAAAUAUGUCUGAAAAUAACAGCUAACUAAAAAACGUAUAGGCUACUAAUUGCAAAAAGUUUGAGCCAAGACCGCCAACAAAAUAGUUACGGACUUUCUCCAACAACAAGGAGGUCAGAUACUCACCAUGUGUACCUGACAAGUACAUAUUUUGGCCAAUGUUGUGGGUUCCAAAAGUUCUUGCGUAUGUCAGGAUGUACCUCAAUAUCUGCUCAAAGCAAAAAUAUAAAUCAAAACUGACAAAUUGUAUUAACAAAUCAUGUGCCUCAACCAAUUAAAGUUGAAACCUUUAGAAGCAAUCGUUAAAAAGGACAAAACGCUAGAAGAUAUUAAUAUCCAAGAAAACAGACAAAGCAACAGAAAAGGGUAAAAAAAAAAAUUCCACCUUUUUCAAAGGGUAUCUGCCUAUUACGUUGAUUAGAGAUUUCGUAGUACUCACAAAUUCAAAAGAUUAGGUGUGAGUUUCUUAACUAGAAGAGAAGUUUUAUUUUCAGUUCUCAGCUAAUAGAGAUGUACUUUAAGUGUUCUAAAAGUAUAAAACCCAGUUUUGAAAGCAAAGCAUUGAUAAGCUGCUCUUAUAGAAUUGUCCUGUAGAUGUCAAAUAUCUAUUCAGAACUUCAGAAUCUUCUGGGCACUCCCUGUCAAAAACUCAAGGAAUAACCACACAAAAAUCCGUUAACUAACAGUUGAUAAAUACCAUGUAUUCUUCACAUAUUCUUUGUGAAGGAAGAGAAUUUUCAUCCUUUCAUUAGAAAAAUUAUAGACCCCAUAAAUCUUUCGAAGUGGAAAGAAAUAAGCUGUUUAGCAUCAACCAUAGUUCAAAGAUGUUGGUUGCAGCAUAUAAUAUGAGAGGAAGAGCAAUAGGGGAUUGCAUACAGUGGUGAGGCAUGUCGACAACUUUCGCAGUGACGCCAUGUAAAUCAUUUCCAGAGUACCUCUGUACAAAUAAAUUUGCACUUUCACUAAUUCAGUCCCAAACAAUAUGUUCUGGUGAUUAUGCAAUAAUAUUGCUAACUUACUAGUUAUGCAUUGGAAUUGACUCAGAGAAAUCAGUUAUAUACAACAACUAUAUUUGUACAAAUAGAAACAGCAUAGAAAUCUCUUACCAAAUGAAAAUCUAUCAUUGGCACUUCAGAACUUUUCCGGUUAAUAACAUAUAGCCAAGGAACGUAAAACUUUUCAUGGCCAACUUGGAAAGAUCUGUGCAGCAAUCAUCAUCAGUAUGUAAUAUGUUGAUCAGAACAAUAUAUCUUAAAAACUGUUAUGUGAGUCAUGUGACUAAAAAGAAAUGAACUUGAACUAUUUAUACUUUCCAUGCACUUGCAGCAGAUCGUUUUAUCCCCACCUCUACCUCGUCAUCAAAUUACUUAGUAAAUAAUCCCCUGAAAUGGUAAGCAUAGAAUUGCUUGUUUCUAUCACUUUCUUCUAUGCAAAAAAUAUUUUUAUUCCAUCAAAGGCCGCAUUUUAUGUUGCACGACAGCCAGAGCUACGUUGUUCAAUCAUAAGGCCCGAACCAAAUGGCAAAAUUAAUAAUUAUCAAACAUCUACCACUUCUUAGUCCUCUAUUUACUCAUUGCCCGUGCUAGGUUCAGAACCUACAGAUGAUGUUCUUAACCACCGGUCAAGGCACUAAGGCAUAUCGUUUGAGGUCAUACAUUUAACCAAGCCAAUCCAAGACUACCCAACUGGGAGAGAGAUAUCUCGGCAUGCCAGCUCAUUCAACCAAGUUAAUUCUGCUACACUGAUACAAUUAUCGAUCAUGAUUUUUCUUAGUAGGCUAAAGACCACGAUACCGGCUGUAUUAGUACCACAAUCUAAGCACUAAAAUGCACUCUUUGAUAAAAAACGGAUCAGAGCAUACUAGAAAAGCCACCAAUUAACAAGGCAGAACAAGGUUCAUUCAAAUCGAGUGAUCGAGGCAAGGGCUUGCGUGCUACUACAAUACCGUCACGAUUGUUUCUCUCCAAGACUGCAGUUCUACUCGGUCUAUCAAAUAAAUAUUAACUUAAUAAAUUGAUAAAUAGUUCGAAUUGAAGCAACAAUAUCACCGGAACCUCACAAUGCCAGGUAAAUAGAAUCAUAAUUCGAAGAAUAACAACACCGAUGCAAGAUGUAAAACUCGUAAAGCUUACAUCUUAUAUGGAUCCGUCCCAGUGUACCCAGUAGGUUUCGGAAUGGGCAUUAGAACCUUCAUAUGGUAAAUCGAAGAAUCAGACGAAGAAGCAACAAAACUAACAAUGGAGAAUGAUCGAUUCCUACCUCACGAUUAACAGCAAAAGCAGGGCAAUGGCGCCCGACGACAUCGAACCAAACCGUUCUCGACUACAAUUUUGCGCAGAAAACAGAUCAAAUCGCAUCAAACCGAAAGGUGAAAGAGAGAUUGGGGGGGAGAAGGCGGAUUAGGGUUUUGAAAGGGGGUUCUCACCCCGUGGUAUUGCCCCGCUUUGCUCAAGGGGACGAUGUCUCCGGGCUUAUACGCGAGGGAAAUCGGAGCCAUGGACGAGAUCCAGAGGAAGAAGACGAAGCGGAGGGCGCAUCCAUGGGAGUCGCCACGAGGUCGCGCCAUGGGCGAGGUGGAGUUACGGGACGAGUGGUAGAGGAAACCGACUCGCAAACACGGGUUAAAGAGAAAAAAAGAAAAACCAAUUCGUGAUCUCUCUUCACGUCACUUUGAGAUUCGUGCUACUUAUGUGACGAACGGCGGAUACUGUAGUCUCACGUUAGGAAGCGGCUCACCAUAUUCUUGUUCGAGUAUUUUGGAUGAUGAGCCGCGAAUCUUGAUGCACAAGGAGAAACUCCACAGUCCACACUCGAGUCUCCUUCUAUAAGUCGUGUAGCCUCGGGGAAUUACUCCGUAGAUUAUGUGCACCACAUCUGUCGUGCACCGCCCAGUCAUACGCCGUCCACCCCUACCAGUUUGAUCCGAGUGGACCAAAUUCCACGAGCCGGUUGGAAAUGGCCUAAUGACUUUUUCACGAACCAACAGUAAUAAAAUUCAGCUCGGAGUAAUAUAACUGUAAACCGAAAUUUUAAAUUAAAGCUUUGAUUUUAAAUCUACUAAAAAAGAUGCAUAAAUUUCUAUUUAUCAAAUGCACUGUUCUCUUACUUUUCCAUUGACGUGAUUUACUCAGAAAAUCUCUUUCUUCAGUGUUCUAUACAUUGAUCGUCACUUGAACAUCUUUCUUUGACGAAUAAGGUCCCGAUAUGUUAUCUACUUCGAGAAUAGCGACUCAGAUAUUCAAAUCUUAUCUCCUUCCCGUUACUUCUCUGUCCAUUGUCCGGCAAGCAUCUAACUCGAAUUCUGCUAAAUUUAAUCCUUUUGGAUCGAUCCUAGCUCGAACAAUGAUUGAUUCGAAUUUUCGGUGGUUGUCAUUUUGUUACUACGAGCUCAUCCUUUUUCUGUAGGCCUGGUCCGAAUUUGGGAGGAUUUUCGAAAGCUUGCCACAGUUUUUGUGUAGGGGACCAGUAGAAAUACAAACAUCUUAUUUCCAGGUACAAAUUUCCCCACCUCUCGUCCAACCCUAUCAUCGGAUUCAAGAAAAAACACGAUGACUGUGUGUUUUUUUUUAAAAAAGGGCCCUAACAAUUUGAAAACGACGCGCCAACGUCUAGUCAAUCUCUAGUCCUCUCUCUUUUAAUAACGAAGUUACAAGGAUCAGGCUCACGACGCUCAAACACGCAUCAUUUUAAUGUUCGACUCUUAACCAAUACCAAGUAGAAAAAACCUGUUGUCAUAUCCCAAAAUAAGGCCCUACUCGCAUAUACUUCCACAUUUGUCCUCAACCUGAAUCAUAAGAUCCUAAAUAGAGGGGACACGCACCUAACGUAAAUUUGGAAUAAAUCAUUUUCACAAUGUGGUCCGACGAUGCCAAUCAUUGUAGCUGCGUUACAAGUAUUAAGUGUUAUAUAGCAACUUAACCAGUUUGGAGCUGCGGUGCCCUCUUCAUUCUCAGGUUACUACUUCAUACUAUCUUUUUAACUUGAUGUUAUAGUUGAAUCUCAAGUAACUAUCAAAACUUUAUACGACUCGGAACUAGGCAUAUUUUGACGAAUAUAACAGCUUCGUGAUGUAACUUGUCAAGAUUAUUUAUAAAUCAUUUUCUAUCGAAUCGAUUUAGUGCGACAUAUAUAUAGUAUAUAUUAGAGCUAAACUCUACUUUUUUUUUGUUAGUGUUUUUAAAUCGAGCAUCUAUUUGAGUAGGAAAAGACGUACAAACCCAUUGUUUGAUGGAGACUCAACUACCAACGGCAAGAGAGGAUAGACGAAGGUACGACGAACGAAUGUACGGAGGAAUUGGGUGAUAGGCAAUAAUUAAUUCUUAAAGCAGACAAACGGUUAUGAUUAAGCGACUUGAAAGGUUAGAUCGUAAAUUUAAAAUAUUCAGAGCGAAUUGAAAGGUUCAGCUUUUCAUAAUUUUUAUUUCUCCUCCUUUUAUUUGCCAAGUAAUUUUUUUUCGCUCUUUAUGCGUGUCUCCAGUGUGAUCUUCCUCCCCUUUUUACUAUAGUUUUUGUGAACUGCAAGCGCUUCGUCGCAAAGCUGAUUACUUCCUCCGAAUUAGAUUUUCAAAUUUUGUUUCAACUUUUGCUGGUUCUCAACGUAGGCAUCACUCAAAGAGGUAAUAUGAGAGAACACUCUGGCCUUUGGAUCAUAGCUCUCAAAACACAUCAAAAGCAUCUUUUAUUAUUAUCAUUAUUAUUUCUCAGACCCAUUUGUAGAUACUGUAAGAUCCAUGCGAGCCACUAUCAACUUACUAUUUAUUACAUGCUGGGAAUAUUUCCUGGCUAUGUUUUUCUCCUGUAUAUGUUUGUCUACGAGUAAAAGAAAUGUAUUGGAAUAGAAUCCAUGAAUCAUGAUAAGGUGCCUUCAUUUGGUACACUUUGUGAGUACUAGAGACAAAUUAACUCCAAAGAAUUAAGGGGCUGCUUCUUCCAUUAAUUUUAUCAUAUUUUUCAUGGGGUGAAGAGUGAAAAGGAUUGGUUUAAUGAUUUGGUGCGCUCUCAAGCGAUCUCCAUUAAGUUUUGAAAUUCACAGGCAUGUUCAUCAGUAUGCUGACUUAUACUGCACAAGUCAAUCAGCGCGUAACAUAUAUAUUAACGUAUAGAUAUAGAUGAUCCAUACUCAUAAAUUUAACAAGCUUUCCCUUAAGACCUAAAAAUAAAAACAAAAUGAAGCAUUGAUCAAGCCUCUGAUGAGCAAAGCAUAACAACAAGAAUUAUAUGCUAUUUUCAAUAGUUAAGUCCCUACAGAAACAUAUGCACACUACUAAUUUCCUUAAAAGAGUAGGAGAUCAAGCACAAGUAAAAUACCAUGCAAUAUCACUUCGAUUAUACACUUCCACACCAACACCACUUUAAUUCACACACAUUCUUUUCAUAUACAUAUUAUAUAUAUUCUAUACCUAGAAAACUACAAUGUGGCAUCAUUGAGAUGAAUCCAAAUUUGCUCAAAAACCUUCACAAUUACAGCAUGGUACUCUCUAGAAUUCAAAGCUAAAUAACAAGCCAAUAACUCCUCCAAAUCCUUCGAAGAUUGGAUAUCGUUUUCGACGAUCAUCUCAACCAUGCUCUCCUGGAAAUCCCUCUGAGGGUCAGAAGAUGACUUAACCACCACAAAGCUCUCCAUGAAUCCCUUCCUCUGCUUCGCCUCUGUUUUGCUCCUUGCGAGCCGCGGUGAGCCCGGCCGGACCCGAAUUCUGCUCAGGCUUCUCCGCUUGUGGUCCGACCUCGGCUUGUCGGCUUGUCGCUUGGUUGGUUUCGUUAGGAUUGGCGGGAGCUCCAUCGGUUUACCGACGUCGAAAACUAUGUCGGUGGCGGAGGUGGUGACAGAGAAGCUCUGUGAUUCUAAGCUCCUGGCGAUGAUCGUCUUGCGCCGGUGAUCGUCGUCCUCGGUGUAGACGUCGCGGUCGAAGGGGCGGGUGUCGGGAGCCGGUUCGGGCUUGUUGGAAGCAGAGGUUGAGACAGAGGAGGCGAUUUUGGGAGAAGCUCUUGUGAGCUUUUUGGCACUGAAUUUCUUGGACUUGGAUUUCCUUGGUGGGUCUGUGGGGAAGUGUGUGGUUGGGGGAUUGGUGAGUUUCAUAUCUUUGCUUGGGAAGUAGUAUGAGGCUCUGUUUGGGAGGUAGAAUGUGUUGGGUGGUGGUGGAGGAGGAGGAGGAGGAGGAGGCUUUGGUGGUGUUGGAGGAGGAGGAGAAGAGGAGGAGGAAGUGUGUGCUUGAGAAUUGCAUCUCUUAGCAGUGAUUUUUGGGCUUCUCUGGCCUUUUUUGCUACCUCCCUUCAUGUCUCUGAGCUUGUAUAACCAGGUGUUUGGUAUCAUAUUGGAAAGCCUAAAUUUGUGGUUUCCCAUGCAAAGAGAUGCCACAAUAUUUGUAUCAAAGAAGAAGAGCCCUCUCUCUCUCUCUCUCUCUCUCUCUCUCUCUCUCUCUCUCUCUCUCAAGGACAAUACAACCAAGAAAAUGAGAGGCUAAAGAGGAGUAUGUUGUAACACUUGAUAUUGCUUAUGUUUGCGAGUUAAAAGCUUUACAUGCCCUUUUCCAAAAUAUAAAAUUAGAAAAAUAGGAGCUUGAGAGGUUAACUUUGUUAAAUUGUAGGAGCAGUUGUUGUUUAAUAUUUACACAUGUUGUAUAUCUUUUUAUGUUUGUGUUCGAGACACCAGAGAAAAUUAAAUAAAAUUAGAGGCCUUCUAGGGCUCGACUUUAGAAUUUUCUAUUCUGAUAUUAUAUUGAAUUAUGUAUAACAAGUAUUAUUCUUCAAAAAUUUAAACUUAAUAUUUUUAAUAUUUAAAUUCAACAAAUUCUACUCCCAGAACACUAUUAUGGCUUUAUGUUUCAGAGCUUAAUUAUUAUUUUAUUUUUGGAACCGUUAUAAAAAAUUAUUUUUAUUCUUAUUCUAUAUAGGUUGGGGGCCCGAUUAUGACUAUUAAAAGGAACAAACACAGUGGCCUAGUACUAAAUUCAUUUUUGGAGGCUUAGCCACGUACGCAAAGGAAACAACAUCAUGAUUGUUAUUAUUGAGCACCUAUGCUACAACAUUUUACCAAAAGAAGGGGGGGUGGGUUUUGGUCAAUCAUGUGUACUGCUUUGGAGGUGCCUUGAGUGUUUACACCCUGUUGAGAAACAAAAAUACUCGUGUAUGUGACAAAAUAUACACUGCUCACUUAAGGGAAGUGAUGGGCUCUUCAACAUCCAUGCUAGGAGCUUUCACACAAACACACAAACAGUGAACUAUGGCUUUCUACAUGUACCCCUCAUAAGUGUGUUUUUUUUUUUUUUUCCUUUCUUUUCUUAUUUUUUUUGUGUGGCAAAAAUUAUAGUUAACUUAAUUUGGUAGCUAGCUUUACAAUUUAAUUCAUGAAUGGUAGUUGGUUUUAUUAAGAGUUACUUUCGUAAGCACAAUUUUAUCCAUGUGUAUAAAGCUAAAGAUUUGUUUCAAUACUUAAAAAUAUUCUUUCUGAUUAUUAACCAGACUUGCAAUAUUGAAUAGAUAAGAAGUAAAGUGUACAAAGGUGUAGCAUAGUAUUUUUUUUAAAAUAAGAUAAACUAUGUUGUAACCGCCAGUCAAUCGGACUACAUGUUGGUUUAUACUAUCAACUCAUGCUUAAUUUCCAUAUGAAUGUGUGCAUAACUUGGUGCUUAUGAUAUGGUCCAUGAAUACUAAAAAGAAAAAUUACUUCUUAAGUAAAGUAUAUUAUUCUAAAAAAAUUAUGAUUGCCAUGUAAAAUAUAAAUAAUUUGCAGGGGCAUAUAUGCAGCUACCACUUCAUACGACAAAGUAGAUUAGUAGGAUCUAUAAAAGUUUGGUAUCUAUGUGUCAUCCUACUACUCUAGUCACAUUGGAAUCACAUGGACUAUUUUAUCUUUCAAAAAUGUAAUGACAUGAACCUAUCAAAUCACUGAUGUAAUAUGUCUAAUUUGUUUACUUUUAGUUGUUACAUUGUGUCAAUUGUUUCCACCAAAGUAAUAGAUUUAUAGAAGAAAUAGUACUUGAGAAAUUUGGAAGCACAUGAAGUACUUGCUUUGGCAUUUUAGAAACAAACUGUAGUUUCUAUACACACUCAUACCACAUGUAAAAUUAAAGAUAUAAUAGACCAUGCAUGUAUUCUCUCUCUAAUAAUAUUGACACCUAACUUUCUAAAUGUAUCAAAAGACCACUUUCUUGUCACCUCCAUCUUAUUCAAGAACUUCUUUUUUCCAAACUUGGUAGAACAAGCUAAGGCACAUCUUUUAUGCAACAAAUGUCAAAUAGUAGGUCAAGCUGACAAGAUAUUAUUAUCUGCAUCCGAUGCAUUGUUACAUUCAUCUUAAAAUAAAAUUCUAAUUCAAUAUGUGAGAUCUGCAACAUCUAGCAAGCCUUAUAUAAAAAUAAUAAGUUUUGUAAGCAUAUAAUUACUAAAAUAUCAACAACUUCAAGAAUUCAGGAGUGUAGCAAACGAUGUUUCUCGGAUGUUACUCCAUAGCCUCAAAAGUAUUAUUUUACGAUAGCGAUACAUGGUGCACAAGGUGCAUGUAAUUAUUUCUCUAAAUUCAGUAAAACUUUUGGGAACUUUAAUUUAAACCUUUUGGAAAAACAUAGAGCAUGAUCUCUUUAUAGUUGAGCCCCUCCAUUUCAAAAAGCUCCACCAACCCAAAUAGGGACUGCUCGAAAAGGUUUUUUUUUUAAAAGAAAUGGGGGUCCACCACUUCUAAUUUCUUUUGACUGGAAAAAUUUCAGCAUUCUCAUUAGCCUUUUUUCCCCUUCCCGGGAGAGUACUUUACAGCAAAGAUACAUAAACUUUAAAUUUGUCCUCUAAAAUCUUACAAAAAGUUUAAUGGUUGGUAUCCUAAAUUAAAAAAAAUCUAAUUAUUUUAUAUUUCUAGUUGAGUUAAUUUAUUUUCAAAAAAUGAAGGAAAUGGAUAGUAUUCUGUCUUUCUUUCAAAAAGUAAAAAUAGAAACAUACAAAUGUUUCUUGAACUAUAAAUUAUGAAUUAUUUUCAUUUGGCCAUCAACUUUUUAAAAUUUUGAUUUUUUACUAUCUAAUUUUUUAAUUUAUUUAAUUUGAGUCGGUCAAUAGCACUUUGACUUUAAUAUUUAAAUGUGUUGCUUAUCUUUACAAGUCUAAUUAGUAUAUUUUAUAUAAUUCUCGUAAUUGUAUAAAUUUAUUAAAAUAAUUAGCUAGUUUAAAUUUUUAAAAUUAAAGUAUCGUUGACUGAUUCAAAUCAAAUAAAUUAAAAAAAAUAGAUAAAAAAUUCAAAAUUUUGAAAGUUGAUAGUCGACUCAUUUAAUCCAUAGUUCACAUAAGUUUUAUAUGUUUUUACCAAAAAAUAAAAAUAAAAACUUAAGCUUUUAAUGAAAAUCAAUUAAUUCGCAUUUAUAGAAUCAAAGAAUCAAAUUUGCGCCUAAUUUCAUAGUUUAACGUUUUGGAGGAAACCAAUUUAUCACAUAUAGUAUAAAAGGAUUAAAUUUGUUCUCUAAUAGCUUAACAUUUUUCUUUUUUUAGAGAAAACCAAUUUAUUUGCAUAUAUAUAGAGAAAGAGGGGCUAGGAUUACUACACUCUUAUGAGUAUAGACCCUUUUGUACUCAUUAGCUUUCGACUGUUAGAUCUAUCUAUUUGAUUUUUUUUUCACUCGUUAGAUCAUAUUAUUCAACCGACCUCCCAUUCAAUCCUAGAAACCACUAUACCCAUAAGAGUAUAUAUAUAUAUAUAUAUAUAGAGAGAGAGAGAGAGAGAGAGAGAGAGAGAGAGAGAGAGAGAGAGCGCGCGCUAGGCUAGUUUACUAUCGGUAGCAGGGAGGCCUCCGUGCUACCGAUAGUAUACCAGCCUAGCUCUCUUUAUAUAUAUAUAUAUAUUAUGAAAGGAACAGUGCUACAUAAGUGCUAGGUAAGUUUUUUUUUUUUUUUUUUUUUUUUUUUUUUUUUUUUUUUUUUGAGAGAGAGAGAUAUGUAGCACGGUACCCGCUUCGGUUAUUUCAUUUAGAAAUACACUUAGCUGUAAAUGUGAAUCAACUAGGAUUCGAACUUAGGUCUUGGAUACCAACCACCAAAUCCUUUGCCACUUGCUCUAGGGACGGCCGGUAAGUGCAAGGUAAGUUGAACAGUGUUAUACAGUAUCAAAGUUUCUUCUACAAUAUAAUUGGGAAGAAUAAGCAUAGAGUUGGGAGAUAGUAAUGUAGAUAAAUUACUAAGCCUCCGUUUGGUUCGGGGUUAAGAAAAAAGUAGUUAUUCCAGGAAUAGAGUUAAGUUCGGGGUUAAAGUGGGGUUAAAAUUUUUUUGUGUUUGGUUGGGGGUUGGAGUUAGUCUAGAAUAAUAAAAAAUAGUGUUUGGUUAGAGUAGGUGAGAUAAGAAGAUAAUGAUUGAUAAAGAAGGAUAAUGAUUGGUUGGAGUAGGUGUGAUAAGAAAGAUAGUAGGUUAUUAUGAAUAAAAAAUAGUGUUUGGUUGGAGUUUGGUGGGGUUAGGUGGGGUUAACUAACCCGAGAUAAUUUAUUUGAGGUGGGGUUAGCUAAUCCCAUCCAUUUGUUAGGGUGUUUGAGGAUAAUAUGGGGGUUAAGGGGUUAUUCCACCCCUUAACCCCCAACCAAACAAGGGCUAAAAGCAUGGUUCGAUGUUGGAACAAGUUCUCCAGUUACAUUUAUUAUAAUCUAUAAACUUAAUUUUAGUCCAUUAUAAGGUCUUGAUAGCCAGAUUUUCAUUUCCAAGAUAAUGCAUUUUACCUAUCUAAUUAAGAAAGAUUUACUUUAUGCCGGUAAAAUAAUUUAGACAUCAUGCAUAUAUGAUUAAAUAUUUAAUCUCCUCGAUCAUGCAUUUUUCAAUUGUCACAAGUUUUUCAAGCGCACAGAUAUUGUGAGUCGAACAAGAUGCGCGGGCAUCCAAACAAGUCCAAAAGAGCAAUCAAAGUACGACUUUGGGACUUAUUUGGAUGCUUAACAUCUCAUUUAUUUGCUCAACAAGUUUAUACUAUCUACUCUCAAAUACGUAAAAGGACAUUCAUAUCUGUUAUUUUCUUCGAAAUAAGAUAAAUUAUUUUAUAGGUAAAAAUACAUAAUCCUCCAAACACGUAGAAGUACAUAUAUAUCUGGCGAUCAUGUUAUCUUCUUUGAAAUAAAAUAAAUUAUUGUAUAGGUGAAAAUACAGAAUCCUCCAAAUUAAGAGCUAAAAGCGAAUUCCGGUCAACAAUCACAAAUAAAAAAAAGAUAGAGAGAGAGAGAGAAACAUUCUCAUCGCAUGUAAGUAUGUAGCUGUAAAAAAACUCGACUUAUUCUGGCGUUCAAACAGGAUCAGAAUACAAUUCUCGGAAGGUUAAUUCAUUUUUGAAAAUCUAUCUUUCCUCCAUUGCCUUCCUUUGCCUGCAAGUGUGCAGAGUCCUGGUGGUGGGGAUCAUAUUCGUUCAAGCUGGCUGAGACAGAACGGAAAGCUACCUCUACUGCUGCAUUGCCAUGUGAGGGCCGGGGGACCGAGACAGAAUGUCGUCGCUCACUAACUUGCAUCCCGUUAUUACGCAUCCAUCUCAAAACUCUGGACCACAAUUAAUGUUAGUUUCAAGUUUAAAGCCCACCGACUUCAUAUUUUCGACUAAGUUUAUUUUUGACUGUUCGUAGACCAAGUGGCCAACACAAAAUUGAUGGGUGGACGUGAAGUUUCAAGUUCAAUACUCAGUUACUUUAUAUUUUUAGCUAAAAUUCAUUUUCGGUUGUUCCCGGAACAAGUGGCGAAGAAAUUGAUGAACAGUAUCAAAGUUUCAAGUUCGAAACAUAGUUAUUUCAUACUUUUAGCUGAAUUCAUCUGUGGCUGUUCCUAGACGAUCGAAGUGGCAAAAGACUUGAUUGGUGGUAUCUGGAGUUUCAAGCUUGAAAUUUUUGGUUGUUCCUAGACUAAUUGGCAAAAAACUUGAUGAUCGGUAUUCGAGAUUCUAAAUUUGAAGUAUGAUUAUUUAAUAUUUGUAGUUGAACUUAUUUCUGAUUGUUCUUAAACCAAGUGACAAAGAACUUGAUUGUUGGUAUAUGAUAUUUUAAGUUUGAACCUUAAUUGCUUUAUAUUUUUAGCUAAGUGUUUUUUGAAAAAAAUUAAAAAAAAAGAAAAAAAUUCAGCUAUAUUUAUUCUUUCCAGUUCCUUAUUUCGAAAAGCUAGUAUAUAUAUUCUAAAAAUUAUAUGUAUAUGGACUUAAUUAAUAGUUUUUAAACUGUAAUAUUAUUUUCUUUUUUUUAUUUUUUAUUUUCUUAACUCUUUGGGAACGUUACGUGGUCCAUAUACAAAGAAGCUUAGAAAGCCACUUGGGGAUUAUUACGCCAACCUCCAUGAGGACAAAGACGAGGACACGAUCAUAAAGGCCUACACAAAGGACUCAUUUGAAUGUGUGUGUGUCGAUAUAUAUAUAUAUAUAUAUAUAUAUAUAUAUAUAUAGAGAGAGAGAGAGAGAGAGAGAGAGAGAGAGGCUAUCGGAAGCACGGAGCCUUCCGUGCUUCCAGCUCGUUUUCGAUGUUGCGACUUUCGAUUCGUCGAUCGGCUCCGUUAAACUUGAUCUAAAGUAUUUGAAGUACUUAGAAAAUAAAUUUUAUGAUUUUAUGAUAUCAUUUGCCUAGUGAACGAAGGGACUCAAAAUCAACGGCUGAAAAUAAAAAUGUUACAAAAUGUAAUAAUAUGACAUUAAAAUUUUAAAUCAAAGAUAUUGAUCUUGUUUUAUAUAGUAUAAAUAAUUUCUAUCAAAAUUUCACGUGAUUUGGAUAUUUCUACACCGUUAAACUUGCAAACGGCUCACUACGGCCAUUGAAUUUGUUGAUUUUGAGCACAUUCGAUCACUAGGCAAAUGGUAUCGAAAAAUAAUAAAAUUUAUUUUCUAGGUACUCCAAAAACUCUAGAUCAAGUUUAACGGAGCUGAUCGACGAUUCGAAAAUCGCAACAUCGAAAACGAGCUGAAAGCACGGAAGACUCCGUACUUCCGAUAGCAUAAUAGCCUCACUCUAUAUAUAUAUAUAUAUAUAUAUAUAUAUAUAUAGUACUUCAUUGGACACGUCAAACAUAAGUUUAUUUAACAAACAAGGUGGCAAUUUAGAGUACGUCGAAGAAUGAUUACAUUUACAUAGUGGGAGAGUAUUAUCAUCAGCUGAUAGAGAUUGUUUGUUUGUUCUUAAAUUUUUAGAAAGAAAAAAUUUUAUUAAAAAACACCUUUUUUCACGAUUUUUAUUUUUCUGAUAAAAUAUUUAGAAAAUAAAAGUACUUUUUUUUUAAUAAAAUCUACAAAAGAAAUCUGAAAGAUACUAUUGUUUUUAGAAAUAAAAUGGAUGAAAAAUGUUUUUCUAAUCAGAAAAUUAUUUUCCGGAAUAUUGUUUGAAAAACCAAACACCUUCUAAGUCGAUAUUGGUUGCGAUUUCAAACAAGAACUUUCGUAGACAUGGAAGAAACCAGAGUUUAAGCUCAGGAGAGGACGGCGGGGCAAGAAUACACAAGAGCUUUAUCUUAAAAGAGAUUAUACAAAACAAGUUAUAACACAAGUUAGCGACCGUCCCUAAGAGUAAGUGGCAAAGGACUUGGUGGUUGGUAUUCGAAACCCAAGUUCGAAUCCUAAUUGAUUCAUAUUUUUAGCUAAGUUUAUUUUUAAAUGAAAUAAACAAAGCGGGUUGCGUGCUACCUAUCUCUCUCAAAAAAAAGUUAUAACACAAGUUUGAUGUGCAAAUUGUUUGUUGGCUCGACGUCAAAAUUAUACUCGAUGUUCUUUUAGUCGCGAAAUUUUUCGAUAAUUGAAUUAAACAAUAGAGAAUUUCUCAGUGAUUUGUUUUUCAAUAUGUAUGAUUAUAGAGAAGUUUUUUCGGCCUACAAGUUUUAUAAGAAAUUUUCAUAUAGAAGUUUUAUGAGAAAAUAUUUUAUCUUGAACUCUAAAAACUAGAAUUUAUAAUAUUUUAAUUAAACUGUGUUGAUGCUAUUUUAAUUAUUAUUAUUAUUAUUAUUAUUAUUAUUGCAAAAAUAAAUAAAAUGUUAUUUUUAUUCCAUUUUCCAUCAUAUUUAAUGUGGUUUUUUGCAAUCCUAAACUAAGCCUAAUUAAGACGUGUAUGUAGCAUUACCACACAUAUAUUAUUUUUAUUCUGUAGAGAAACCUUUUUAUUAUUAUUACUAUUUCUUUUUUUGAAAAACUGGGCAAGCUAUUCCGGGCUUAGAUGGGCCUAGGCUUAAAAGGAGCCUUUUGGGCUCUUAUUUUACACCCACAUUUAAUCCCAAAAUGAAGUGGGCCAAGCUUUAAUGUUCGUACUUAACUCUAUGUUAUUUAUUUAACCAUAUUACAAAAAGAGUUUUUUUUCUUUGUUUGACUUUUCUUUUGGCUUCUUCACUUUGAAAUUUGAGACAGAUCUUGUUUUUCAAAAUUUUUGAAACUUCUCGUUUCAUGCUACCGAAGCCAAAUUUACACGAAAAUCUUCUCUGUUUCACAAAAAAAAAAAAAAAACGGUGUUCCGAGCAAUUCCAAUUAUUCGUGUGAAAAAAUCGGCAUUAAGGUUGUAUCGUAUGUAAUUGCACAGUAGGGAGUAAAGGAGCUGAGCAUAUCGAGAGUGGAAACAUGAAAUUUGGUUAUUGAGUUUAUAUAUAUAUAUUAAUGAUCUUCUCUAAAUUUAUUUAUUUAUAUAUAUAUAUAUAUAUACAUAUAUAAAGUUUGUUUUAGAUCCAAGAACAGCUAUUUGCAUACAAAAAGUUUAGUAAAACUCGAAAGUUCGACACGUAAAAUGUUUAGCGAACACAAAGUCUAGCUUUUUACUAUAAUUACCAAACAGAAACAAGCUUCUAUAUAUCUCUCAUAAAGAAAAGAUUGAAAUUUCAAAAACUAUAAUAAGAGGCGAAUUAAAUAGAAAUUUUAUAAAUGUAAUAAUAAUAAUAAUAAUAAUAAUAAUUGUAUAUAAUUAUUUUGCAUAUUUUAAUAUAGUAUCAGAGCAGAAGAUUUUAAAUUCUAAUCUAAUUUAAAGUUCAUAUAUUGAGCUUAUAAAGUGAUGUAGACGUGAGGGGAAGUCGCCGAAUAGCCGCUAAACUAGGAGUACAAGUCAUUGACUGGAAUUGGCAUCAAAUAUUGCCAAGUUUCUUCAUUGCAGCCCCAAACUUAAUAUAAAAACAAAUGACAAGAGAUUUGCAACGCUAAGCAAAGUCUCCAAAACAUCCACAUUAGUUCGUGAAACCAACAAUUAAUUAAUACUCCGAAAAAACAAAAUAAAUAAAUAAUAAAUAGAAUUAAUAUUACAUGGUGUAGCUUUUCGUAGUAUUUACAUCUUUCAAUUGCACACACAAAAUCCAAAGGAAAAAAAAAAAAAAAACCCAAAGAAAAAGAAAAUGUAUACAUAUGAUAUCUUUUGUUUCUCCUAACCAUUUAGGCUGGGCGCAGCAAAAUGUCAAACUUUCUACAAAAGGCAACGAUAUUCGAAGAGGAAAAUUAUUACCGACAACAUAGAUAAAUUAAAUCUGAUCAUAUCUAUAAACAUACGAACAAUGAUCAGAUUCAAUUAUCGAAAAAUUUUUCGCUUCAUUAAUACCACUACCCUCUAUUUCUAUCUGCUCAGCACAUCCAUCGAAAACUUCGCCUACGUAAAAAGUUACAACAAGAAGUUUUUGACUUUGUACGUAGACAAGUUGUCGAAACAUGUACCUUAUGCCACGCAAAGAUAUAUAUAGUAUAAUAUUGGUCGCUUGGAUCAAUCCCUUUGAUCAGUUGUUAUCGCCAUUGGUGCCUCCGCUGGGGCCCGACGGCGGCACGGUCCCCCGCGGGAGGGCGUUGAGCAAAAGCGCUUCGUACUUCUUCGCGAUCAUCGACCUGGUCGUCGCGGGGAUGAUCUUCGCAUGGCCUCUCUCCCUGAGGUGCAAAGAGCUAGUGCUCCUCAAAUGCCUAGCAGUGGCUUGGUGAGAGAAAAUAAGGAGGAGGAGAAAGAGAAAGAGUAUGGUGGUGUAGUUGAGCUUGUUUUGAAGAGCCAUUAAUUGUAGCUAGAGAGAGAGAGAAAGAGAAGGGGAUUAAUGAGAGGGGGAAUGUGUAGGGGUUUGGGGUUUUAAUGUAUGGUGGGGAGAGAAGAGAGGGGGAGGGUUAGUUAUUAUAUUGGUGUGUUGUGUUGAAAAGUUCAAAAGGGCAAAAAAGGAGAGAACGGGGAAAGGACAAGGAACGUUCUCAUUUUCUAAGACUCUGACUUGUUAAAACUUAAAAAAAAUUAGUUGUGGGUGGAAAAAAAAUAAUAUGGUUGGCGAAAAUGAAUAGACUCAGUGCACUAAUUCCUUUGUGUUCAUAUAUAGUCAAUUAGCUUAAAAUUCUAUUAAAUUUUAGGGCUCAAUUAUAUAGAUAUUAGCAUUACUUAUUAUAAAUAAAGUGAUUACGCCAUUAAAUUUAAUAAAAUUAUUAAGUAAUUUGAUAAUAUUCUUAACUUAUUUGGUUGAAACUGCUUACUAAAAUAUAUAUAUAUAUAUAGCUCAGUGAGCUAUUUUAGAAUUAAUAUCCUGUAGUUAAUUAAGGGGGUCUUCAUAAAAGGAAUUAAAGAAUAAAGGGAAUUGCGUGGAGAUUAGGAGGCAUAAAUGAUUUGAUCUUUAUGAUCUUUUUAAUUCACUAAUUAAUGACUAAAUUUACGCAUCCGUAUCGCACAAGUUUAAAGUUAGAGAGCAGCUUAUUCAAUUUGGAUUCGAAUCCAAUAAUAAUUUAUUAUUGUCGCGUAUAUACAUAUAAUAAGUUAUUGGACCAAGCGCCUUUUUGGAUAGCAAAUCUAGCUCUAACCCACAAAAGUGGGCUCAGCUUUUUUAAGGUAAACGCCACUUUGGAUCCAUAUAUCAAAUAAUCACCUAUGUGACGUGGUCAACUAAGGUUUAAUUGUAUCUUUUUAUAUAUCAAAGUUCUAUUUUACUUGCUAUUUUCCAAAAUAAAUUUACUAUUUUUAAUUAACUUUUAUAAAUAUCUCAAAUUGUUCCCAUUUUACUAUCUACCAUUGAUUUUAUUAAUACAAAAAGUACUCUAAAUGCCUGAGUAAAUGAUUUUUGAAUCGACAUAUAUAUGCACUAAAGUACAUAAAAGUAGAGCUUAUAGUUUUCGAUAAAGUUCAUUUUAACACUAGAGUUCAUUUUUGAAUCUGAAUGCCAAUUUUAUACAUAAUUAAAAGUUUAAAAAGGAUAUAUCAAAGUAAAAUUAAAUUCAACGACUACUGCUGCAAAUAACCCAUCUAGCUACGUAAUGAUGAAAUUUACGCCUUAGCUUUUCCCAAAGUCUACUAAAUAAUCAUUGAUCAUGAGGGGAUUUCAUUAUCAAUUGCGUGUUUAUUUGAAUCUAAAGAGUGGGAACUUUGAAUCAAAGCUAAUAAAGUUUACAAAAUUUUUCCACGCUGUGGAUGGCAUAGUUGGGGUGAUGCAUCAAAAGCUACCAACUCCCCCCUUUGUGUAUGGCUUUACCCAGGCUGUUUGAAUCUUGGGGAGAAAGAAAGAAAAUUAGGAAAUGGGUUAUUAAAAAAAGGGACAUGUGGUUUCCAUGGGGUUGACUUGGGACUUGGACUAUGUAUAUCUUUUUCUUAUGAUUAUUAUUAUUAUUCUCUUCAAAGGAAUGUUUGGGUGACAAAAAGAGUACCCAGAAACUACCAAAUUAUUAGUUUUUUCAACCAAAAAAAGGAAAGAACAAGGAGCUACACAUGCAACUUUUAUUUGUUGGACUUGUAUUUCCAAUUUUUGUAAUUAAUAAUACACUAAUUUAAUACGUGUUAUUUUAUUUAUUUCGAUUUUUCGUGCUAUUUAAACUCGUGCUUUUAUUUCAAAGUUGCUUACGAGGUUGCUAUAUAAAAAUAAUAUGACUAUUAUAUUGACUCAGUUAUUUCAUAAGCUCAUAAAGUUAGAAGAUUGAUAAUUGAAUCAUAUAUAACGUGAAUCAAAUUUAAUAAUUGUCACUCCUCUUUAGCUGAGGAAAUUAAAGUAAUCUAGUAAACUUGAUUCAAAUAAAUAAGAGUUAGAAAUUUAAUGCAUGGAUUUUGAGGAGUUAAGGUUAAAUUAUUUUUUUAAAAAAAUUUAUAUUUUUUGGGGGUAGUUAUUUGGUACAAUUUUGGAGGAGCCUAACAAAGCAUUCAUUUAUUACUGUGCAUCCGACGGUCCGAGGACGUCGGGGACUAUGUCUUCCUCGGGAGCCUCGCUGUCACGGAAUUCAAAGCACGCGUUGGCGAUUCCCCCGCUUUGACACGGAAUAACUUUCGCCCUCUUUAUUAUUCUAAUAAAAUAAUAAUAAAUAAUAAUAAUAUAAUAUAAUUUUGUAAAAAUGCAUGUAGGUCCCUUCAACUACUGUAGAUUGGAAAUAGAGCCCUCGACUUUAGUUUUUCAUCUUUAUUGACACCUACUAUACUUCAUGGUUUUUAUAAUUAAUUAAUAACUAAAAACCGAGGGAGUAUUUUAAAAUUGAUAAAGUUUUAAUUGUGGUUAAGUAUUAAAAAAACAAAUGAAAAAAAAAUUAAAAGCUGAGAGGGCCCCAAUCCAAAAAUGCCAAAGUUGAGGGGGUUUACGUACAUUUUAUCUUUGUUGGAUACGUUUUGGAUUUGAGUCCCAUGCAUUAAUUUAUCCCACGUCACCGCUUAUUAUUAUUACUCCAUUUAAAAAUUCAUAUUUUCCCAGCUGUGAAAAGACGUAUACAUUUCUUGCUUCGGGGGAGAAACUUCGUGGGAUUUCAACUAAGAUAAACUAAAAAAAUGAGAAAAAAAUAUAAAAAAUGAAAUUGAUAUUAUAAAUUAAUCAGGAAUAAGAUAUAUGCCGUCGAGUGAAUUGGCAUUGGUAUAAUUAAUGGUUUAUAUAAUAUAUAUUCAGGAUAAAAUUAAAUUAAUUAAACUUGGCUCUUCAUUAAAUUAAAUUUCUUUUAUUAGUAAAUUAUUAGUAAAUGGCCUAGUAUAUAUAUAUAUAGCUAGUUUUGUGUUCAUUGGUUUCUUUGCAAUCACCCGGAACUUGUUUGGAGCACAAAGUUGAAUUUAGAACUAAGUCGAUGUACUUUAGUUGAGUGUUACGAUCGUUUACGAUACGUAAGAUGAAUUAUUCCUACACAGCACAGUGUCACAAUAUUGUGAGCAAUUAAAUACUUAAAUGACAUUCUAUAAUUAUAUAUUAAUUAAUGCAAAAAAUCUAAUGGGAAAACAAUAUAAUACAUAUGCAAUAGGAUUAGUACUUAGUCAUUAAAUAGCAUCAUUUAAUGCGGUUGCAUAUAUAAAGGCUGCAGGUACAACUAAUAUUUGUGGACAUCAUUUCCUGGACGGUUGGAUUUGGUCUUAUAUGAAAAUAUUUUAGUUCAUAUUUUAGUUCUCAGGUUCGAACCUGCGACUUAGCUAGUUUUAGUAUAUUCAGUGUCGGAUCUUUGAGUUUUCAAAUUCGAAGUUUGAACUUGGAGAAUGAGACUUUCGUACUCAAGUUUGAGGGGUUUUACGAUUGCCUACGGGCCAUAUUAAACUAUAAAAAUGCGAAAUAAAUCAACGUAUCAAGAUUUCUGCAUGCAUGCUGCAGCAUUUGAAAGAAUGGCCUAGGAUUUGUUUGGCUGAGCUAAAGUCGGGGUUAUGCAAACUCUUUUUGAGCUAGUUCUUAUUUACAUCAAAUCUUCAACUUUUGUGAUGGGCCUUUUUUUUGUAAAUUUAAAAGAAAAACAAGAAAGAAAGUUUACUUUUGAAUUCCGAAAGACACUUAGUACUUAACGAUCAAUUAAAGCAUGCACUCGAUCGAAACUAGAUAUCUUUAUCCGCCAACUAUAUAUUCUAGCUACUAUAAACAACCGAAACUAAAAGUAAAAGCAGACGCUGAAAAACAUCGAUUCAAGUCAAAAACCCAGCAAGCUCACAUCAAAUUUAAUUUCCACAUGAAAUUAAUUAAUAAUAACCUACAUGAUGACGGCCACUGUUUCCUUGGGAGAAUGUCUCCCGGGGCACCUAACUACAACAAAUGUGGUGUACGUAUUUUGCUAUUAGAGUCAAUCAAAUUCUUCAUUAAAUUAAAUGUCUUUUAUUAGUAAAUUAUUAGUAAAUGGUCUAGUAUAUAUAGCUGGUUUUGUGUUCAUUGGUUUCUUUGCAAUCACCUGGAACUUGUUUGGAGCACACAGUUAAAUUUAGAACUAAGUCGCUAGCUGUUUAUUUGAGUGUUCCGAUCAUUUACGAUUAUUUGAGUGUUACGAUCAUUUACGAUACGUAAGAUGAAUUAUUCCUACACAGCACAGUGUCACAAUAUUAUGAGCAAUUAAAUACUUAAAUGACAUUCUGUAAUUAUAUAUUAAUGCAAAAAAUCUAAUGGGAAAACAAUAUGAUACAUAUGCAAUCGGAUUAGUAGUACUUAGUCAUUAAAUAGCAUCAUUUAAUGUGGUUGCACAUACGAAGGGUGUAGCUACAAUUAAUAUUUGUAGACAUCAUUUCCUGGACGGUUGGAUUUGGUCUUAUAUAUAUAACAGCUUACUUAAUAAUCCUUUUUUUUAGAAAAAAACAUAAAAUCAAGCUUCAUGCCAGAUGAUGUGAUGGACUAGGUAAGGAUUUUAGUUAU
RNAcentral lists this long non-coding RNA (37939 nucleotides) under Ananas comosus (pineapple). Its description in RNAcentral is "long non-coding RNA (ACOM_LNC007808)". Lineage: Eukaryota; Viridiplantae; Streptophyta; Magnoliopsida; Poales; Bromeliaceae. The record is from RNAcentral.